AGGAUGAACGCUGGCGGCGUGCUUAAUACAUGCAAGUCGAGCGGCAGCAUGCACUUCGGUGUGAUGGCGAGCGGCGGACGGCUGAGUAACGCGUAGGAAUGUACCCCAAAGUGAGGGAUAAGCACCAGAAAUGGUGUCUAAUACCGCAUGUGAUCUAAGGAUUAAAGCUUUAUGCGCUUUGGGAACGGCCUGCGUACGAUUAGCUUGUUGGUAAGGUAAUGGCUUACCAAGGCGAUGAUCGUUAGCUGGUCUGAGAGGAUGAUCAGCCAGACUGGGACUGAGACACGGCCCAGACUCCUACGGGAGGCAGCAGUAGGGAAUUUUCCACAAUGGGCGAAAGCCUGAUGGAGCAACGCCGCGUGCAGGAUGAAGGCCCUUGGGUCGUAAACUGCUUUCUCUGUGAGGAAUAUGACAGUAGCAGAGGAAUAAGGAUCGGCUAACUCCGUGCCAGCAGCCG
This 457-nucleotide ribosomal RNA is filed under the name uncultured bacterium. RNAcentral describes it as "SSU rRNA". It matches the Rfam family "Bacterial small subunit ribosomal RNA", at positions 26 to 517 of the family's 1533-position model. The record is from RNAcentral.